AUAGAAACUAACAUCAAAAAUUAUUUUAAUUAAUAAUAAAGUAUUUCAAAGGGGUUAUUAAGGAUAAUUAGCAAAUUUAUAAAUAAGGAGGCAUUGGCCUAAUGCUACAUUAAUUAAGUGGCAAUCCUAAGGGAAACCUUUUAUAUAUUACUUCCUGAAGUAAAUCAUUUUAGUAAGGAAAGGAAAGGAAAUCAACCGAGACUCCGAAAGUAAUGGUGAGUGAAAUCGGAUUAGCCUGUGAGAUUUAAAAAAGUGAAAAAUAAGCGUAGCCCACCCCGUCUUAGCAUCGCAAGGAAAGGAGGGGAGCGCCCCAAAGAAGGUAAAAACCAUAGUCCUGUAGCUUUUAUUAAUAAUCACUUACCCAGCCCUUCCUUCGGAAGGGGUGGGGGGAUAUAACAAAGUAUAUGUUUUCCUUUUUAGAGCCCUAAUUGAUUCUAUUUUUAUUUUUUAUAUUUAACAGUAUAAGUUGUAAUUAUAGGAGAAGAUUCUUGUUCUUAAAAAAUAGGUUUAAUGUAAUUUUGUUAUAUUUUUAUUUUUAUAUUAUUUACUAUUGCCACUACGGUUUUAGGAUAUUUAAUAUAGUUAUUAAGUUAAUGUUUUUUUUUACUUAACUCAAUAAAAUUGGUUAAAUUAUUUAAUCGAUUGUAAAAAUACGAUGAGAGAUAACUUGUCGGAAUAUAGGGGAACCAUCCUCUAAGGCUAAGUAUUAUAAAUUUAGCGAUAGUGAACAGUACUGUAAAGGAACAUGUGAAAAAGUAUAAUAUAAAAUUAAUGAAAUAGAUAUUGAAUUAGUAACUCUAUAAGCAGCCGGAAUUAAAAUUAAAACAAUGACGGCGUACCUUUUGCAUAAUGGGUCAGCAAGUUAAUAGGAAUAGCAAGGUUAAAAGCCUUAGCGAAAGCGACUGAACUAAUUUAGGAGAAUAAAAUAAUUAUUUUAUAAUUUAUUUUUAAUUAGUAUUUAAUUAAAAAAAGAGUAGCCCCUUAUGUUAAAUUUUAACAAACUUUGUUUUUUUAAAUUAUUAAUGUAAGUUGUUAUUUGCUAAACUAUAGUGUUGGGUAAGUUAUUUCUAUUAGACCCGAAGCUAGAUGAUCUUUCCAGGGCCAGAUUAUUAAGGAUCGAACGGGUGAAUGUUGCAGAAUUCUCCGAUGAGCUCUGGAAAGCGGUGAAAUGCCAAUCUAAUCUAGUGCUAGCUGGUAUUCUUCGAAACAUAUGUAAGUAUGACAUCCAAUUAAAUUUAUGGAGGUACAGCACGGAAAUUCCGAACAAAUAAUAUUGUCAUUCUACAGGAUGGAAGUUUUUCCUAUUGACAGAGUGAACAAAACAAUAUUGUGCGUUUAGGUUGCGGGGAUCUAGUAAAUCUUACCAAUGGAAUUUAAACUCGGAAGUACAUAAAUUGAUGUUGGAUAUUCAGACUGCUCAUGAUAAGUUGAGUAGUCAAGACGAAAACAGUCGAGAACACGCUUUAAGGUCCCAAAUGGUUAUUAAGUGAAAUUAAGGAUGUCACAUAUUGUAUGCAGCUGUAAAGUGAGCCUGGUAGUCGCUACUUUUAAUGAUCGUUGUAACAACGCAUCAGCUCUUUAGAUUGUGGCACCGAAAAUUUAACGGGUCUAAAAUAAUCAACCGAUAUCGUGUUGAUUAAGUAAAUAAAAUUAAUCUUUCUUUGUUUACUUAAUCUAGGUAGAAGAACAUUCAGGAACGGAAGAUACACAGUGUUUCAUUGUGCUUGACGAACUGAAGAGAGAAUGCUGACAUGAGUAACGUAAAAAGAAGUUUUAAUACUUCUCGCCGAAUACGAAAGGGUUAUAAGUGAGGUUUAAACCGACUUAUGUUAAAUGCGGGUCUCUAAGGUACAGAACCAAAGUUCUGGCUGAUGAGGUAGUGAUAGUACUGUCCUAAUGGAAGAUUGGACCAAGAAAAUAAAUCACUUCUGAAGAAUUAUUAAUAGAUAUUUUAAUAAAAUUAUAUUUAAGAAGGUCACAUUUUUAAAUAAAUGGGCUGUAAAUAUUCUUAAUUUAAGUUUUAAUGUUAAUUGUUAUAUUUAGGUGAUAAGAUAACUAAUUAAACUUAAGUAAAAAGAACUACCGUACCCUAAACCGACACAGGUUCGUAAGUAGAGAAUACUAAGGCGUAGAGCUAAAAGUUGUAAAGGAACUCGGCAAGAUGUCCUCAUAAGUUUGACGAUAAGAGGAACCAAAAAAUAUAAUUUUCGGUAAAAGCCCUUCCUUGCGGAGCCUUGCUUCGCUCCCGAACAGGGGGGAAGGUUCUAUUUAUCGGUUUAUUAUUCCAACUUGGUCAUUAUUUUACAUGUUAAUUCUUUCUUGUAAUGGUUAUUUUUCAAUAAUAUUUAAAUAUUUUUAAGAACAAUAUUUUUAUUUUUUUUUUUGUUAAUUUCCGGUUUAAGAAUUAGAUUAGCCUGUCCUUUCCUUCGGAUUGGAGGGGUUGUUUAUAUUUUUAAACGCGAGAUUGUUAUUAAAUGAAUAACGGCUAUCUCUAGCCUGAAAGGGCAGGGUAAUAAUAAAGUCAGCCAUGAUAAAUUAAAGUAAAUUGGUGGCACAGAAUCGGAGGCCUCGACUGUUUACUAAAAACACAAGAAUGUGCAAUGAUAUAAAUCAUAGUAUACGUUCUGAAAUUUGCUCGAUGCCAUUAAUAUAAAAGAGGUAAUAGGUAACUGUUACUAAUUGAAAAUCUGGUUAAUAGCGGUCUUAACUAUGAGGAUCCUAAGGUAGCGAAAUCAAUUGGCCAUUAAAUGUGGUCCGGUAUCAAUAAUGUAACGAAGGUCUCACUGUCUCUACAACUUGCUCAGUGAAAUUGAAUUACCCGUGCAGAUGCGGGUUACCCCCAGUGGGACGGGAAGACCCUAUGCAGCUUUACUGUAGUUAGUUAAUACGCUGAUCUAGAACAAUUCUAAACAAUAGAGAUUAGGUAUGUCGAUAGACGCUUUUCCUUUCCCUUAAAAAGGUUAGGUUGUGGAAACCUCCAGAUUGGAAUUGGGUCAGAGUUUACCUUUGUUAUUAUUAAUACUAAUUAGAAUUAUUUUUAGAUAUAAAAUUUCUUCCCCGUCCGAAGGACGGGGUGGGUUAGUUAAAAUUAGAAACUGUAUUAGGCGGUUCUAAUAAUAGAUACCUUAAUUAGAUAAGGGAAAAACCUUAUAUAUUUAUAUAAAUAUUAUUAAUAAUAGAAUUAGGGAGAAUUGACUAAUUGGCAGUUUGACUGGGGCGGUCGUCUUUAAUAAAGUAGCAAAGUACAUCCACAGAUUUAAUAUUAACAAUUAUUACAAUAUUAUUAUUUUUAUAAUAGUGUUGCACACCAAAAAGAUUAUUAGAUGGUAUAAAAUAAUUAAUUUUUAACUCUAUUUACACUCUACUUCUAUUCUUUUUUUUAAGGAGUAGGAUAUGGAUAUAGGUAGUCCCUGGCCAUUGUUGAGCCUAGCUCCGCAAUAGGACAAGGGGGAUUAAUUGGUUUUAUAAUGAAUUUUCUAUUUACUAUUUUUAAACUUUAAACCAUCGAACAUAUAUUUAUGUAUAAAUUUUUCUUAAAGGUAUAGCUAGAAAUCGAAUGGAGAUCAAUCAACCAGUGUAAAGGUUGCGCAGAGUGUAAUGGCGGUAAGCAUACCUAACUGACAGACUUAAAAGUCGAACAGAUACGUAAGUAGGGCAUAGUGACCCCUCGCUAUAAAAUGGAAUAGACGGGGAUCAUUUGAUAAAAGUUACGCUAGGGAUAACAGGCUGAUAGCCGGCGAGAGUACACAUUGUCCCGGCUGUUUGGCACCUCGAUGUCGAUUCAUCCUAUCCUCCGGGGGAAGAAGCUUGGAAGGGUUGGGCUGUUCGCCCAUUAAAAGGGUACGUGAAUUGGGUUUAAUACGACGUGAGUCAGUAUGGUCCCUAUCUUCUGGGGGGACAAUUAGUAAAAAGGGGCAGACCUUCUAGUACGAAAGGAUCAAUAGGCUGUGUUUCUAUAGUGUACCAAUUGUUGAAAUCAAAUCUAAUAUAAAAACCAAAAUAACCAUCUUUGUUAUUUUUGGUUUGGUACCGAUCCUUAAAUGGACUCGGGGUUAGUUUAUUUAUAUGUUUUUUAUGUGUAAAUAAACUAUUAUAUUUUAUUUGGUGUGGUAAUUAUUCUAUUUUCAUAGAUUAAUAUGUAUAAACAUUGUAUUAAUAUUAUUUACCUUAAAAUAUAGUAUCGCUUUACCUUUCGAAAGGAAGUACUAGAUAUUUAUAUAUAUAAUUUGGCACAGUUGGGUAGCCACAAACAUGGUAGAUAAGUGCUGAAAGUAUAUCAAGCAAGAAUCUACCCCCUAGAUACUAACGAUUAUUUCAUUUUUUUAUUAUAUUUAAAUAAUCAAUAAGAUAAGAAAUAGAACAUUUCUUAGAUAGGAUGCAAAUGAAAGCUGCUGAAAAGCAUUUAGUUUAGCAUUACUAAUUGGUCACAAGACUUUAUGUUAAGAUAUUCACACAAC
This 4457-nucleotide ribosomal RNA is filed under the name Porodaedalea pini. Its description in RNAcentral is "large subunit ribosomal RNA". It matches the Rfam family "Bacterial large subunit ribosomal RNA". Lineage: Eukaryota; Fungi; Basidiomycota; Agaricomycetes; Hymenochaetales; Hymenochaetaceae. The record is from RNAcentral.